Zalophus californianus (California sea lion) is the source of this 354-nucleotide long non-coding RNA. RefSeq lists it as uncharacterized. The transcript has 3 exons. NCBI's taxonomy places the organism in Eukaryota, Metazoa, Chordata, Mammalia, Carnivora, Otariidae. The record is from RefSeq and is a predicted model, not a curated record.
AAAUACUAAGUCCUAAACCAGGACUACCACCUGAUUGUGCCCUACACAAAGGUCCCUGAUGUGCAGGGUGAAGAAAACUUUCUACACCAGUGAGCCUGUAAACAUAAAAUUUCAGGUGUGGAGAAUGGGCCUCUAAGGAAAGAUUUGAGGGACUUUGGCAAAAAUCUUUUAGUGUUCUGUGCUAUUUUGAGCACACCUGCAAACCCGUGACCAAAGUUCCUGCUGCUUCCUGUGUCUCUGUCCCGGGGAGUCCUGAUCACCCACCAUUUGCUCAGAGAUGCCUCAUUUCUCAUGGAAACACGACUGACUGCUUCUUCGCAAACAUCCAUGCUUAGAGCUCACUGCUGGACAAGC